AUGAAAGUAGUGGUUGUAGUAGCCAUCAGCUGUCUGACCAGACCCUGUUUUUAUACCACAGCUGUGUUUGUAAAGGCCUCCACGGUGCUGGAGGUGAGUGGCUAUGUUGGAGGAGACGUCUCCAUCCACUGCUCUGGCGGCUGGACCUCAAACCACAGCUCCCAACACAACGGCCUGUACUUCUGCAAAGGCUUCUGCUCCAGAAAGAACAUCCUCGUCCAGAGCGAGCGCGGCGCCCCUGUCACACGAGGGAGGUACAGACUGGAGGUCAACAGAGAACAGGGCGCCUUCUACGUGAUCAUUCGACGGCUGACGAGGGCGGACGCAGGGACGUACAGCUGUGGAGGGGAGGAAACCUUCACGGCUUUGUACCAGGAUAUAAGUCUGACAGUCCUAAACGCCUCGUCGGUUCCUGCUGCUCCCUCCACCACCAUCAGCCGCCGCUCUCUGUCCGGCACCGAACCACCAGCAUCUGCGUCACCUGCUGCAGAGGAGACAAAGCAGCGAGCAGCAGCCAGUCUCACAGCCACCACAGUGGUCAUCAUCGUCUCAGUGAGCCUGGCCCUUCUGGUUUGUGCAGUCAUCCCGCUUAUAUUCUACGGACACUGGAGGAGUAACGCACGCGGUGAGCUGUCACAGUGUCACAGACCUGCACGUCGCUGUACAAGAAGUGACACAUGGUCCAAAAUGAAGAAGAAUCUGUUUGUUUCCGUAGGACGAAACCGUGAAGGAGGAAACAAGUGUGAGUCUGCAGUGGGACUGCAGUCGUUCGAACCCGCGGCAGAUCCGGAUUCGGGUGCUCAGGACGUGAGGCACUACGCUGCUGCUUACCAGGCACUGGAUCCCAAAACUCUGGACUGAGCAAGUUGUUGCUGGGUCUGCGCUGACGACGCGAUUUACAUCAAAUAAAGCUCAUGUUUAAUUAUGCUCUCGUGUGCGC
Molecule: long non-coding RNA, 940 nt
Filed under: Betta splendens (Siamese fighting fish)
Lineage: Eukaryota; Metazoa; Chordata; Actinopteri; Anabantiformes; Osphronemidae
Description: lncRNA (ENSBSLG00000006183.1)
Source: RNAcentral